CGCAUCUGUGCAUGCAGCAUAUCAAUAAGCGGAGGAAAAGAAACUAACAAGGAUUCCCCUAGUAACGGCGAGUGAAGCGGGAAGAGCUCAAAUUUGAAAUCUUAAAGGGUUUCCCUUUACGAAUUGUAGUUUAAAGAAGUGUUUUCUGUUGAGGUUUUGGUAAAAGUUCUUCGGAAUAGGACAUCAUAGAGGGUGAGAAUCCCGUAUUUGACCUUUACUUUCAACUUUGUGAUACACUUUCAAAGAGUCGGAUUGUUUGGGAAUGCAGUCCAAAAUGGGUGGUAAAUUUCAUCUAAAGCUAAAUAUUGGCGAGAGACCGAUAGCGAACAAGUACCGUGAGGGAAAGAUGAAAAGAACUUUGAAAAGAGAGUUAAACAGUACGUGAAAUUGUCAAAAGGGAAGCGUUUGACACCAGUGUUGUUUUUCUGAAAAUCAAUUAAAGAACUGUUUAUGCUAGGCUGUUUAGACUUUAUCAGCUAACUGUUUAGUUUUGAGCUUUUCUUUAAUGCACUUUUCAGUUAACAAGUCAACAUCAAUUUCUUUUGCUGUAAAAAAGCUUGAGGAAGGUGGCUUGAGAUUCGUCUUAAGUGUUUAUAGCCUCUUGCCUAUGCAGUCGGAGAGAUUGAGGUCUGCAGCGUAGAUCCUUCGGGGCUAAAUGCAUUUGUGCUAAGUUAUAGCAUUUUAUAGACAACUUGUUGACUAUGAUUUGUCUUGUAGCUUACUCGCUUAUGUUAUUUUACCUACGCUUAGGAUGUUGAAUCUGUGCGAGACUAC
Molecule: ribosomal RNA, 774 nt
Filed under: uncultured Neocallimastigales
Lineage: Eukaryota; Fungi; Neocallimastigomycota; Neocallimastigomycetes; Neocallimastigales
Description: partial large subunit ribosomal RNA
Rfam family: Eukaryotic large subunit ribosomal RNA
Source: RNAcentral